This 424-nucleotide ribosomal RNA is filed under the name uncultured bacterium. Its description in RNAcentral is "bacterial SSU rRNA". It matches the Rfam family "Bacterial small subunit ribosomal RNA", at positions 202 to 622 of the family's 1533-position model. The record is from RNAcentral.
AAGACCUUUGCGCUUUUGGAGCGGCCGAUGUCUGAUUAGCUUGUUGGUAAGGUAAAAGCUUACCAAGGCUUCGAUCAGUAGCUGGUCUGAGAGGACGGCCAGCCACACUGGGACUGAGACACGGCCCAGACUCCUACGGGAGGCAGCAGUGGGGAAUUUUGGACGAUGGGGGCAACCCUGAUCCAGCCAUGCCGCGUGAGUGAAGAAGGCCUUCGGGUUGUAAAGCUCUUUCAGCCGGAACGAAACGGUUACGGUUAAUACCCGUGACUACUGACGGUACCGGAAGAAGAAGCACCGGCUAACUACGUGCCAGCAGCCGCGGUAAUACGUAGGGUGCAAGCGUUAAUCGGAAUUACUGGGCGUAAAGCGUGCGCAGGUGGUUUUGUAAGUCAGAUGUGAAAUCCCCGGGCUUAACCUGGGAACU